Molecule: long non-coding RNA, 1059 nt
Organism: Oryzias latipes (Japanese medaka)
Lineage: Eukaryota; Metazoa; Chordata; Actinopteri; Beloniformes; Adrianichthyidae
Source: RefSeq, a predicted model, not a curated record
UGUGUGGAGUUUGCAUGUUCUGUCCGUGCAUGCGUGGGUUUUCUCCGGCUUCCUCCCACCGCCCCAAAACAUGCUUCAUAGGUUAAUCGGUUACUUUAAAUAGUCCCUGGGUGUGAAUGUGAGUGCGCAUGGGAUGGGUGUGUGACAUGACUCAUUUAAUUUUUGUAUCCAUUGCAGUUUUGGUCAAAUUUGAUCAAAAGAAAACAACCUACAAGCGCUAAAACAUUUUUUCGAUAAAGGCGAGGAAAUGUGGUGUUGGCAAAUUUAUCAUCGCAAAUCCAAAUUGAUCAAUUUUAUAGUCAAUAGAAACACAACUUUUGAAGCGAAACUGUGAGUUUAUGACUGAGGUUCAUGGAGCUGAGGGUUCUGCACAGAAUGUUCAAAGAUAGAAAGAAAGUUUACUCGCCCUAAAAUCUUCAGUGCCAGAUUGUGAAGAGCAUCUUUUUCAAAGGAUGGGAACAAAAAUACUUUCUAUGAAUCAAAUAUUUGCCCAUUUAAUCUCGUUAACUAUUUUGCAUCAUCUUUAGUUUAUCUAAACAUCAUCUGAUCAACAUCUGUGUUCCUAAAAUGAACUCAUUUCCCAAUCUCAAUUUCAUUUUUUUUACUUUCCGCUUGGCGGGUUUUUGGAGCGGCACAGGAAAAUAUGGAAUGAAAACAACCAAAGACCUGCAGCCCCAUCAGAAAAUCCUGUCGGCUCAAAACCCAGAAAACAACAAUUUGGAAGGUGACCACAAACACCAGAUGGAGGACCACGAGCUGCAGCGCUGAGAGGAGCACACGGUGUGGGAAGGACAGCAAGUCAUCAAACUGGGUUCCAGAGACACUAAGGAACUGCUGGAAAUGCAGCUCCUGCACUACAAGGGCAUAGUUUCUGCAGAGCGGCAGGAGUUCAUCAGGAAUUCACCUCCAAGUUGUCUAUGGAGCUGAGUAAGCCCGCCCACACUUCCAGUCAUCCAACCCCAUCACAACUCCAACAUACCAUUACCGGUUCAACAGAAAUGGUGAGCAAUGUCGUAGCUAUCCAGCCGUUCAGUUUUGAUCCAGAUUCCAGCUUAGACG